RNAcentral lists this ribosomal RNA (1553 nucleotides) under Escherichia coli. RNAcentral describes it as "bacterial SSU rRNA". It matches the Rfam family "Bacterial small subunit ribosomal RNA". The record is from RNAcentral. Lineage: Bacteria; Pseudomonadati; Pseudomonadota; Gammaproteobacteria; Enterobacterales; Enterobacteriaceae.
AAAUUGAAGAGUUUGAUCAUGGCUCAGAUUGAACGCUGGCGGCAGGCCUAACACAUGCAAGUCGAACGGUAACAGGAAACAGCUUGCUGUUUCGCUGACGAGUGGCGGACGGGUGAGUAAUGUCUGGGAAACUGCCUGAUGGAGGGGGAUAACUACUGGAAACGGUAGCUAAUACCGCAUAACGUCGCAAGACCAAAGAGGGGGACCUUCGGGCCUCUUGCCAUCGGAUGUGCCCAGAUGGGAUUAGCUAGUAGGUGGGGUAACGGCUCACCUAGGCGACGAUCCCUAGCUGGUCUGAGAGGAUGACCAGCCACACUGGAACUGAGACACGGUCCAGACUCCUACGGGAGGCAGCAGUGGGGAAUAUUGCACAAUGGGCGCAAGCCUGAUGCAGCCAUGCCGCGUGUAUGAAGAAGGCCUUCGGGUUGUAAAGUACUUUCAGCGGGAGGAAGGGAGUAAAGUUAAUACCUUUGCUCAUUGACGUUACCCGCAGAAGAAGCACCGGCUAACUCCGUGCCAGCAGCCGCGGUAAUACGGAGGGUGCAAGCGUUAAUCGGAAUUACUGGGCGUAAAGCGCACGCAGGCGGUUUGUUAAGUCAGAUGUGAAAUCCCCGGGCUCAACCUGGGAACUGCAUCUGAUACUGGCAAGCUUGAGUCUCGUAGAGGGGGGUAGAAUUCCAGGUGUAGCGGUGAAAUGCGUAGAGAUCUGGAGGAAUACCGGUGGCGAAGGCGGCCCCCUGGACGAAGACUGACGCUCAGGUGCGAAAGCGUGGGGAGCAAACAGGAUUAGAUACCCUGGUAGUCCACGCCGUAAACGAUGUCGACUUUGGAGGUUGUGCCCUUGAGGCGUGGCUUCCGGAGCUAACGCGUUAAGUCGACCGCCUGGGGAGUACGGCCGCAAGGUUAAAACUCAAAUGAAUUGACGGGGGCCCGCACAAGCGGUGGAGCAUGUGGUUUAAUUCGAUGCAACGCGAAGAACCUUACCUGGUCUUGACAUCCACGGAAGUUUUCAGAGAUGAGAAUGUGCCUUCGGGAACCGUGAGACAGGUGCUGCAUGGCUGUCGUCAGCUCGUGUUGUGAAAUGUUGGGUUAAGUCCCGCAACGAGCGCAACCCUUAUCCUUUGUUGCCAGCGGUCCGGCCGGGAACUCAAAGGAGACUGCCAGUGAUAAACUGGAGGAAGGUGGGGAUGACGUCAAGUCAUCAUGGCCCUUACGACCAGGGCUACACACGUGCUACAAUGGCGCAUACAAAGAGAAGCGACCUCGCGAGAGCAAGCGGACCUCAUAAAGUGCGUCGUAGUCCGGAUUGGAGUCUGCAACUCGACUCCAUGAAGUCGGAAUCGCUAGUAAUCGUGGAUCAGAAUGCCACGGUGAAUACGUUCCCGGGCCUUGUACACACCGCCCGUCACACCAUGGGAGUGGGUUGCAAAAGAAGUAGGUAGCUUAACCUUCGGGAGGGCGCUUACCACUUUGUGAUUCAUGACUGGGGUGAAGUCGUAACAGGUAACCGUAGGGGAACCUGCGGUUGGAUCACCUCCUUACCUUAAAGAAGC